This 775-nucleotide ribosomal RNA is filed under the name uncultured Neocallimastigales. Its description in RNAcentral is "partial large subunit ribosomal RNA". It matches the Rfam family "Eukaryotic large subunit ribosomal RNA", at positions 22 to 621 of the family's 3401-position model. The record is from RNAcentral. Lineage: Eukaryota; Fungi; Neocallimastigomycota; Neocallimastigomycetes; Neocallimastigales.
AUAUCAGUCAUGCAUAGCAUAUCAAUAAGCGGAGGAAAAGAAACUAACAAGGAUUCCCUUAGUAACGGCGAGUGGAGCGGGAAGAGCUCAAAUUUGAAAUCUUCAAGGUUUUACCUUGACGAAUUGUAGUUUAAAGAAGUGUUUUCUGUUGAAGUUUUGGUAAAAGUUCUUUGGAAUAGGACAUCAUAGAGGGUGAGAAUCCCGUAUUUGACCAUUACUUUCAGCUUUGUGAUACACUUUCAAAGAGUCGGAUUGUUUGGGAAUGCAGUCCAAAAUGGGUGGUAAAUCUCAUCUAAAGCUAAAUAUUGGCGAGAGACCGAUAGCGAACAAGUACCGUGAGGGAAAGAUGAAAAGAACUUUGAAAAGAGAGUUAAACAGUACGUGAAAUUGUCAAAAGGGAAGCGUUUGACACCAGUGUUGUUUUCUCGAAAAUCAAUUAAAAAGAGUUGGAUUUUGUGUUGUAUUGACUUUAUCAGCUUUCUUCACUCUUUUCCAGCUUUUUUUAAUGCACUUUUCGUUUAACAAGUCAACAUCAGUUUCUUUUGUUGUAAAAAGGUCAGUUGGAAGGUGGCUUUCUCUUCGGAGAAAGUGUUUAUAGCCUUUGACUCAUGCAAUCGGAGAGACUGAGGUCUGCAGCGUAGAUCCUUCGGGGUUAGAUACAUUUGUGCUAAGUUAUAGCUUUUCAUAGACAACUUGUUGACUAUGUUUAGUCUUGUAGCUUACUCGCUUAUGCUAUUUUACCUACGCUUAGGAUGUUGAACUCUAUCACACACAG